CGAAUCCUAAAAAAUCCUUUAAA
RNAcentral lists this transfer RNA (23 nucleotides) under Pristimantis briceni (Merida robber frog). Its description in RNAcentral is "partial tRNA-Phe". RNAcentral also lists the same sequence under 1 other name. The record is from RNAcentral. Lineage: Eukaryota; Metazoa; Chordata; Amphibia; Anura; Strabomantidae.